Long non-coding RNA from Mirounga angustirostris (Northern elephant seal), 756 nucleotides. RefSeq lists it as uncharacterized. Lineage: Eukaryota; Metazoa; Chordata; Mammalia; Carnivora; Phocidae. The transcript is spliced from 5 exons. The record is from RefSeq and is a predicted model, not a curated record.
CGGGGAGAAGCCUGAUGCCGGGUGGAGGAGGACCCAGAAUGAGAGGGCAGGUCCAGGGAGUCCCUGCUGCCCAGGGGAUCAGGGAGACCUUCGGUGCUCUCCCAUCUGCUUCUGGGGGCUUGUCUCGGAGCCGUCACCUCGGCCCCAUUCUUACUCUGCAACUCUCCAAAGUGUCUGAGGGACUCUGCUGCCUGUAGCCAGAUGGGUGCCAAGGAUGACAGUCAGACCAGGGGAUGGUAGAGCCUCAAAACGCAAAAAGCCUGGUCUCUAAAUCACGGCAUUGGAGGAAAGCCACCCGCAAUCCAGGAAGAGCUGCUGGGAACUGGUACACGAGUGAGAAAGAAACACAAUAUAUUUGGGGGCUUCAUUGUUACAGCAACUGGCAUUGUUGUAAAGCAUGGCCCUUUCCGGACAUUCGGAGAAGGAUCCGGGAAAAGGAGACACAGGCCAGGAGUACACAAGGCCACGGCCAAGCAGAUUUUCAAGCACCUGUUCCAGAUCCUGAUGAGACAAGGUAGACCUGGUGUCUGCCCUCAUGGAGAGUGCAAUCCAAUGGGGACAACUAAACAAUGCCACAAUCGUGUGGGAUAAAGCAUCAUGUGGACAGAAAAAGAGAAUUCUAAAGACCAUACGAUGUCUGACAUCACAACAGAUUGAAUGCAGAAGAUGUAUGAAUCCAGGAGCCUUUGAUUAAACUAGACAUUAAAGAGAAUUGCAAAAAUAUAAAAAAGCAAGCUCACUUUUCUCAAUAAAGAU